UAAAAAUGACCGUUAAAUCGUGAUUUUUCUUUUUAUAACCGUCGAAAAGUUUUGUCCUGUUAAUUGAUCUCUGAAUGUUUGUUUUUUGUAAUUUUUGGCGUAUGCGAUCUCGAAGUAUAUACAAACAUGUUUGACGGUUGGAUCUUUGAAACUAGUUUCGUAGAAUGAGUAUCCCAUCAAAACAAUAAAUUCACUAAUACUUAAUAGUUUAUUCAUACUUUUAUUAAGUAUAACAUAAGAUUUUGUGGUAUCCA
RNAcentral lists this long non-coding RNA (254 nucleotides) under Malus domestica (apple). RNAcentral's name for it is "long non-coding RNA (MDOM_LNC013778)". Lineage: Eukaryota; Viridiplantae; Streptophyta; Magnoliopsida; Rosales; Rosaceae. The record is from RNAcentral.